This is a long non-coding RNA of Phyllostomus hastatus (greater spear-nosed bat), 384 nucleotides long. RefSeq lists it as uncharacterized. Lineage: Eukaryota; Metazoa; Chordata; Mammalia; Chiroptera; Phyllostomidae. The transcript is spliced from 3 exons. The record is from RefSeq and is a predicted model, not a curated record.
CAUAGAUACUGGUGAAGGCUUGCCAUGGGAAGUUGCCCAGCUUAGCUUUGGAAGAACCCUGGACCCCCUGGUUCUGCGCAAUGGGGGUGACUGGCUGUCCACAGACUGCAAGAGAGGAGAGGCCCCACGUAUGGUUGAAUCCUGUUUGGAGAGUGACCGCCGUCACAGCACUGGCAGGUCACUACUCACCUGGCACACAGUGAGGAACCUCCUCCCUGUCCUCUGUCUCUUCUCCGGGGCCUGGGGCUGUGCAGAUAUCAGGGGUCAUGGCCGUGGAAAGAGAGCGCACCCCCAGGAUGGACACUCACUCACGGCUUGGUAGAGGACCAGGAAGCCCUUGUGGAGGCCAGUUGUCCUGUCUUCAGAGGAGGCAGGUGCAAGGAA